GACGAACGCUGGCGGCGUGCCUAAUACAUGCAAGUCGAGCGAAUUUACGAGAGCUUGCUCUCGUAAAUUAGCGGCGACGGGUGAGUAACACGUGGGCAACCUGCCUAUAAGACUGGGAUAACUUCGGGAAACCGGAGCUAAUACCGGAUAAUUCACAUCUACUCAUGUAGAUGUGCUGAAAGACGGUUUACACUGUCACUUAUAGAUGGGCCCGCGGCGCAUUAGCUAGUUGGUGAGGUAACGGCUCACCAAGGCCACGAUGCGUAGCCGACCUGAGAGGGUGAUCGGCCANACUGGGACUGAGACACGGCCCAGACUCCUACGGGAGGCAGCAGUAGGGAAUCUUCCGCAAUGGACGAAAGUCUGACGGAGCAACGCCGCGUGAGUGAU
Molecule: ribosomal RNA, 390 nt
Filed under: uncultured bacterium
Lineage: Bacteria
Description: bacterial SSU rRNA
Rfam family: Bacterial small subunit ribosomal RNA
Source: RNAcentral